GAAAUGCGAUAAGUAAUGUGAAUUGCAGAAUUCAGCGAAUCAUCGAAUCUUUGAACGCACCUUGCGCUCCUUGGUAUUCCUUGGAGCAUGCCUGUUUGAGUAUCAUGAAAUCUUCAAAGUAAAUCUUUUGUUAACUCAAUUGGUUUCUACUUUGGUAUUGGAGGUCUUUGCAGCUUCACACCUGCUCCUCUUUGUUCAUUAGCUGGAUCUCAGUGUUAUGCUUGGUUCCACUCGGCGUGAUAAGUUAUCUAUCGCUGAGGACACUGUAAAAGGUGGCCAAGGUAAAUGCAGAUGAACCGCUUCUAAUAGUCCAUUGACUUGGACAAUACUUUUAUUAUCUGAUCUCAAAUCAGGUAGGACUACCCGCUGAACUUAAGC
RNAcentral lists this unclassified non-coding RNA (378 nucleotides) under plant metagenome. Its description in RNAcentral is "partial contains 5.8S ribosomal RNA, internal transcribed spacer 2, and large subunit ribosomal RNA". The stretch from base 1 to 105 matches the Rfam family "5.8S ribosomal RNA", at positions 50 to 154 of the family's 154-position model. The record is from RNAcentral.